GAUGAACGCUGGCGGCGUGCCUAAUACAUGCAAGUCGAGCGAACAGACGAGGAGCUUGCUCCUCUGACGUUAGCGGCGGACGGGUGAGUAACACGUGGAUAACCUACCUAUAAUACUGGGAUAACUUCGGGAAACCGGAGCUAAUACCGGAUAAUAUAUUGAACCGCAUGGUUCAAUAGUGAAAGACGGUUUUGCUGUCACUUAUAGAUGGAUCCGCGCCGCAUUAGCUAGUUGGUAAGGUAACGGCUUACCAAGGCAACGAUGCGUAGCUGACCUGAGAGGGUGAUCGGCCACACUGGAACUGAGACACGGUCCAGACUCCUACGGGAGGCAGCAGUAGGGAAUCUUCCGCAAUGGGCGAAAGCCUGACGGAGCAACGCCGCGUGAGUGAUGAAGGCCUUCGGAUCGUAAAACUCUGUUAUUAGGGAAGAGCAAAUGUGUAAGUAACUCUGCACGUCUUGACGGUACCUAAUCAGAAAGCCACGGCUAACUACGUG
RNAcentral lists this ribosomal RNA (497 nucleotides) under uncultured bacterium. Its description in RNAcentral is "partial 16S ribosomal RNA". It matches the Rfam family "Bacterial small subunit ribosomal RNA", at positions 28 to 507 of the family's 1533-position model. The record is from RNAcentral.